Molecule: ribosomal RNA, 471 nt
Filed under: uncultured bacterium
Lineage: Bacteria
Description: partial 16S ribosomal RNA
Rfam family: Bacterial small subunit ribosomal RNA
Source: RNAcentral
GACGAACGCUGGCGGCGUGCUUAACACAUGCAAGUCGAACGAUGAAGCCUAGCUUGCUAGGUGGAUUAGUGGCGAACGGGUGAGUAAUACGUGAGUAACCUACCUUUCACUCUGGGAUAAGCCUGGGAAACUGGGUCUAAUACCGGAUACGACCAAUCUCCGCAUGGGGUGUUGGUGGAAAGCGUUAUGUAGUGGUUAUAGAUGGGCUCACGGCCUAUCAGCUUGUUGGUGAGGUAACGGCUCACCAAGGCGACGACGGGUAGCCGGCCUGAGAGGGUGACCGGCCACACUGGGACUGAGACACGGCCCAGACUCCUACGGGAGGCAGCAGUGGGGAAUAGUGCACAAUGGGCGCAAGCCUGAUGCAGCGACGCCGCGUGAGGGAUGACGGCCUUCGGGUUGUAAACCUCUGUUAGCAGGGAAGAAGAGAGAUUGACGGUACCUGCAGAGAAAGCGCCGGCUAACUACGUG